Phaseolus vulgaris (common bean) is the source of this 128-nucleotide non-coding RNA. The record is from Rfam. Lineage: Eukaryota; Viridiplantae; Streptophyta; Magnoliopsida; Fabales; Fabaceae.
ACGCGGCUUAGUUAGGAGGCACACAUUAAUCGGAUCCGAAUUCGCGUUUGGAUCCCUUCAGAGAAAGGCCUUUUGAAUGGACUCUAUGCGUUUCUAAUCAAUUGUUCCUCAAGCAGCCUUUCACAUUU